This 480-nucleotide ribosomal RNA is filed under the name uncultured bacterium. RNAcentral describes it as "partial 16S ribosomal RNA". It matches the Rfam family "Bacterial small subunit ribosomal RNA", at positions 28 to 507 of the family's 1533-position model. The record is from RNAcentral.
GACGAACGCUGGCGGCGUGCUUAACACAUGCAAGUCGAACGAUGAAGAAAAGAAUUGAGGCUUCGGCAGAAAUUCAUUUCGGAUUAGUGGCAGACGGGUGAGUAACGCGUGAGCAACCUACCUCUUACAAAGGGAUAGCCUCGGGAAACCGGGAUUAAUACCAUAUAACAUUGCGACGAAGCAUUUCGAUGCAAUCAAAGCUACGGCGGUAAGAGAUGGGCUCGCGUCCCAUUAACCAGAUGGUGAGGUAACGGCUCACCAUAGUAACGAUGGGUAACCGGCCUGAGAGGGUGAACGGUCACACUGGAACUGAGACACGGUCCAGACUCCUACGGGAGGCAGCAGUGGGGAAUAUUGCACAAUGGAGGGAAAUCUGAUGCAGCGACGCCGCGUGAGUGAUGAAGGAAUUCGUUUCGUAAAACUCUGUUCUAUGGGAAGAAAAGGACGGUACCAUAGGAGAAAGCUCCGGCUAAAUACGUG